ACACCUCAACUCCUCAUGGCUUGCCAUGAUGAGCUUGGACUUUGGGGGACUUGCUGGCCUGCAGUCAGCUCCUCUCAAAUGAAUCAGCUUGCCAGUAUUUGGUGGCACCACAGGUGUGAUAAACAUCUACUCUUGUGGUCCUCCACCAUGUAACCUUCAGUGAUGGAGGUUUGCUGGAGCUCACAAAUGUCUCUCCUCAGUGGGGAUGACCCUUUGAAU
RNAcentral lists this unclassified non-coding RNA (219 nucleotides) under uncultured Tomentella. Its description in RNAcentral is "sequence contains ITS2". Lineage: Eukaryota; Fungi; Basidiomycota; Agaricomycetes; Thelephorales; Thelephoraceae. The record is from RNAcentral.